GGGAUAUUAGUAAACAUAUUACAUAGCCUUGUCAAGACUAAAUCACAGGUGAAAACCCUGUAUACCCCC
RNAcentral lists this transfer RNA (69 nucleotides) under Strix uralensis (Ural owl). RNAcentral describes it as "tRNA-Asp". The record is from RNAcentral. Lineage: Eukaryota; Metazoa; Chordata; Aves; Strigiformes; Strigidae.